RNAcentral lists this ribosomal RNA (24 nucleotides) under Eugeissona tristis. RNAcentral's name for it is "partial 26S ribosomal RNA". The record is from RNAcentral. Lineage: Eukaryota; Viridiplantae; Streptophyta; Magnoliopsida; Arecales; Arecaceae.
GUGACCAUAGUCAAGCGGGAGACC